Small nuclear RNA from Cervus hanglu yarkandensis (Yarkand deer), 104 nucleotides. NCBI's taxonomy places the organism in Eukaryota, Metazoa, Chordata, Mammalia, Artiodactyla, Cervidae. The record is from Ensembl.
GCUUGCUCCGGCACACAUAUACUAAAAUUGGAAUGAUACAGAGAAGAUUAGCAUGGCCCCUCGGCAAGGAUGACAUGCAAAUUUGUGAAACAUUAAAAAACAAA